Dromaius novaehollandiae (emu) is the source of this 541-nucleotide long non-coding RNA. RefSeq lists it as uncharacterized. The transcript is spliced from 2 exons. The record is from RefSeq and is a predicted model, not a curated record. NCBI's taxonomy places the organism in Eukaryota, Metazoa, Chordata, Aves, Casuariiformes, Dromaiidae.
GCAAAUUCCAGCCUCUAUUUAUCAGCACUGGGGCUGAAAGCAAAGAGGGGGAAAAAAAAAAAAAAAAGCUUCCUGGGCUUGGUUUGGCAAAGCGGAACAACUCUGGCAGCGGCGACAAAGCAGCACGACGGCAAAUUUUGCAUCUGCGGUGGCCAGAAACCCCGAGGAUCCCACAAUGCGCCCGUUUGUUGUCACAGUGGGUGGCUGGAUUCCCGCAGAAAGGAGCUUUCAGUGGAAACAUUCAAAAGUUCAAACUCUUCUAGCGAUGCAAGGUUGAGCUUGAUUGUGCGGCGGGCACAAAGGGACAGUGUUUCCCCGGGAGCAGGGAGGUUUUGUGGCUGGAAACACGGCUCUUUUCUUCUGCGGACAGAAGCCGCGUGAGCAGAUUCGAGGCGUUAUCGAAGCGGGAUCACGGUCGGAGACUUGGCUUAAAGGGAGAUGACAGAACAGGCACCUACGGGCAAGACGAGCCAAGCAGUCGGCCGAGAGGCCUCCGAGUCACUUGACGUGGGAUAACUCUGCGCCCGAUGGAGCAUGGCCA